CGGUGUUCAACUGGCGUGCCCGCGGGACGUCCUGCCGGUGAGCUCAGCCCGCGAGGGCGGCUCAACUUGAAAUCCCAUCGCGGUGCUCUUCAUUGAGUGUCGAGGUGGGCCGGCACGAUUACUUUUGAACAAAUUAGAGUGCUUAAAGCAGGCUAAAAUUUUGCCUGAAUACUGUGUAUAUGGAAUAAUGGAAUAGGACCUCGGUUCUAUUUUGUUGGUUUUCGGAACCCCGAGGUAAUGAUUAAUAGGAACGGAUGGGGGCAUUCGUAUUGCGACGUUAGAGGUGAAAUUCUUGGAUCGUCGCAAGACGGACUAAAGCGAAAGCAUUUGCCAAAAACGCUUUCAUUGAUCAAGAACGAAAGUUAGAGGUUCGAAGGCGAUCAGAUACCGCCCUAGUUCUAACCAUAAACUAUGCCAGCUAGCGAUCCGCCGACGUCCCUCUGAUGACUCGGCGGGCAGCUUCCGGGAAACCAAAGCUUUUGGGUUCCGGGGGAAGUAUGGUUGCAAAGCUGAAACUUAAAGGAAUUGACGGAAGGGCACCACCAGGAGUGGAGCCUGCGGCUUAAUUUGACUCAACACGGGAAACCUCACCAGGCCCAGACACUGGAAGGAUUGGCAGAUUGAGAGCUCUUUCUUGAUUCAGUGGGUGGUGGUGCAUGGCCGUUCUUAGUCGGUGGAGCGAUUUGUCAGGUUAAUUCCGAUAACGGACGAGACUCUGACCUGAUAACUAGACGCACUUGCGGCAUCUCAAAGGUCCGCCGGCGGCUGGCUUUGCGCCCGUCGUCGCGCGCGAUUUUUACUGCCGGCGUACAAUAAAUUCUUCUUAGAGGGACAAGUGG
RNAcentral lists this ribosomal RNA (839 nucleotides) under uncultured eukaryote. RNAcentral describes it as "SSU rRNA". It matches the Rfam family "Eukaryotic small subunit ribosomal RNA", at positions 635 to 1426 of the family's 1831-position model. The record is from RNAcentral.